CUCUGGAGGUCUUGAAUAGCGACUCUGCAGCCACAUUCUCCUCCAUCCUGUUCCAUGGACCUUCUCACUGGACGAGAGAGAGCCCAUGCAGCCCCCCACUGAAGAUGGUGAUGAAGGUGACCCAAGAUGGAGGCGCCAGCUUUCAGUGGUGGAGUAUCAGGUCAGAUGGGGGGAACCGAUCAAUGGCAUUGGAGGAUGAGUUCAGAGAUGAGCUCUGUGGUGUGCAAUGUGUGACUGUCAGCUGACUUCAGAGCCUGUAUGAAGUUCUUGGGUGCAGGCAGGCUACUGUGCACAGGGGACUAUCUCCACUGCUGCAGAGUCCCAACAUGGCAGUGACUGGGAGGAGCCCCACGUUGGUAGAUGAGGGUCCACACAGGAGUGGCUGCCAGAAUUCCUGUGUGUGGGAAGCUGCCAGGUGUCUUGCAUGGGAGUGGCAUCGGUGAUUUCUGUUCAGGUGGGUAACCAAACGUUCUGUGUGGGUGCUGAAGGUCCCACUUGGGUGCCCAGUAAUCAAGUCCUGUGUGGGUGAGUAGUUGGGGGACCUACUCUGAUACUGGGGCCUGGAGCUCUGGGCUUACACUGACAUCGUUCUGAGAAGCUCAGAAGGAGACCCCACUAAAUUAGGACAGUCAAUAUUUAGUGAACCCACGUGAGUAGGUUCACCUCUGAUACUGUAGAAUUGUAGAGCCACCAGCAUAUGACUGCAACCCAUGAGAGCUUUGGUAUGAGCCUCACUGGGAAAAGCUGUGGGAAAGAGGACACCUGAAGCAUUGGGGAUUUAAAGAAACAAAAUUAGUUUGAAUAUGAAAAUAUAUUUUCAUAUGUAAAUAGUAAACAAAGAGAGAUGGUUAUAUUUGUCCUAUUUCUCCCCACUUUUCCCUCUUUUUUAAGUUUAAAUUUUGUUCAUUUUUUUAUUGUACAUUUUUUCGUUUUGCAUAAUUAUGUGUGUUGGGAUAUGUGUUUAUGUGUGAGUCUUCUCACUGGCAUGGAGAGGUUUGAAUGUAUGUGGUGUCUAUUUUAUACAUAACAUAUUCAUAUAAUUUUCUUUCAUUUUGAUUUCUGUCUUCUUCAUGCAUUUAUCAUUUAGCCGUGGCCUUGGUUUGACUUUGGUGAGGUAAAAUUUUGCAUGAGUUGGUUUGUUAUAAUAUUUAUAUUUGUUUGUUCAUAUAUUGGUUUUUGUUUCUCUUAUUUCCCCUUCUUCACUCUCUUCCCCCACUAAUAACCAAAUUUUCCUCUUCCCUCUUUCACUCUUUUAAAAUUACUUUUAGUUAUUUCUUCCUCCUCUCUCUUUUUAGCCAUCUUCUGCUAACUCCUGCUUCUCUUCUGUUAUCUUUUUAGAUAUUUCAAACUUUCUCUUGCCUUCCUGCAAUAUUUUUUUAUCACUUAAGGAAAUGUAAUUCCACUAUAUGAGAUAAUUAUAUAAUCUAUACCCCAUUCAUGUUGUGAUUGUGUACAACAUAACAGACACCUGUUGGUUAAUAUCUGAUCUAGUUCAUGAUUGCAUAUUAUUAGUGCUGGUAUUGAAUGUGACCCCACCAAUUAGUUUACACAUAGCAAUUAGUGUUAUAGAUGUCAAAAUAGACACCAAAUAUUUAUUUUAAGGAUGUGCAUUAGUUGCUAUAUUAAUGCUACUCCUUGUUCCCCCUUUCUCUGAGAGGGGCUGGGAAGUAAGAAAUUUCAAAUUCACAGAGUGGGGAUGCUGCUUCUGAGCAACACUCACAACUCAGCCAAGUAACAAUGACCCUCACUCCACAUAUGAACUUGUCCCACUAGAGCCCCAAUAAUACUUUAACAUAAAAUAGAGAAGAGAAAAACCCCAAACCAAUAACUAGGCUCCAAGUGGGAGUUAGCUAAAGGGAGGACCUCAGAUUCCACUUCUGCACAUUUACAGAAAAAUCAAAGAGAAGUACCUAGAGAAAAAAAGAUAAUUAUACACCAAAGGACACAUAUAUAAAAGAGGAAGAAGAAUCCAUCUCAACUUAUAUGCCUAUGUGCAAGCCCAAGAUCUCUGAAAACAUGAGGAAGCGGGCAAAUAAAUUUUGCCCCUAAAUUCACAGUUUCCCAAUAAAUGAAUCUGUGGAUAUGGAGGUGAAUGAAAUUGCAGAGACAAACUAUUAAAAAAUGAAUAUUUAAAUGUUCAGUGAACUAAAAGAAGACCUAAGGAAUAAAUUAAGAGAGCAAAUACAGGAGGAGAAAGUUCAUUUCAAUAAAGAAAUAGAUUGAAAAGAAACCAAUAAGAACUCCUGAAAAGGAAAGACACAAUUAAUUAAGAAAAGCAUCACCAGCAGAAAGGUUACCUAGAAAAUAGAACUUCAGGCUUUGUAGACAGGGUAUAUGAACUGGAAUACUCACUAUGCAACAAAUGAAAAAAAUUGAAAGACUAUGAUCGAAAUAUAUGAGAACUCUGGGAAAACAUCAAGAGUCCAAAUAUGAUUGUAACUGAUAUAGAACAGAACAUGGAGAUAAAAGUCAAAGGCAUUAAGAACCUCUUCAGUGAGACAGUGGCAGAAAAUUUCCCUCACCUCAAAAAUGAGAUAGACAUUCACAUACAGGAACAUAUAGAGUUUGAAAUAGAUGAGAUGGAAACAGAAUCUCUUCAAGACACAUCAGAAUCAAAAUGACUAACAUAGAAAAUAAGGAAAGAAUAUUAAAAGUUGCAAGAGAAAAACCAUCAGGUCACAUUUAGAGGCAGCCCAAUAAGCAUCACUUCUGACUUUAAAUUCAGACACUAAAAUCAAGGAGUGCCUGGAAUGAGAUAUUCCAAGCUCUAAAACAAAACAAUUGCCAACCAACAUUGUGAUAUCUAGUAAAGCUAUGUUUCAGAAUUGAUGAAGAGAUAAAAACUUUCCAUCAUAAGGAUAAACUAAAGAAUUCAUGACUACUAAGCCAGGACUACAAAGAAUACUUAGAUAUAUUACACACAGAAGAAUUCACAAACCCCAACGUUCCCAAAUGGUUGAAGCUUACUAGAAGAGCCACUAAUGGAAUGAAAAUCAAGACCAUAUUAAAUAUAGCAAACAAAAAUGGCAAGAAAUAAAAAAAAAAUCUAUCCAUAAUAACACUGAGUGUAAAUGGUUUCAACUCCCUAAUUAAGAGACAGAAAUGGGCAGAAUGUGUUUACAAAAAAAGUUGCAACAUUAUGCUGUUUGCCAAAGACUCUUCUCAUAGGCAAAGACACUCAUAGGCUGAAAGUAAAAAGAUGGAAAGAAAUAUUCCAUGCAAACAGAGUCCAAAUACAAGCAGGAAUAGCUUUUCUUAUGUCUGACACAUCAGAUUUUAAGCAAAUAUUAAUCACAACAGAUAAAAGUCGGUACAUACUGACAAAGGGAAUAAUCUAAAAUUAGAUAAAAUUAUAGCAAAUAUUUAUGCUCCAAAUGUCAGUGCAAUGAAUUAUAUUAAAAACAGUUCCUGACAUAAAAUCCCAAAUAUACCCCAAUAAACUAUGCUGGGUGAUUUCAACACACCCUUAUCACAAAUAGAUCAUUAAUACAAAAUCAAUACAGAUAUUUUCAACCUAAAUAAUUCUUUAAAUCAAAUUGACUUAACAGACAUGUACACAAUAUAUCACCCCCCAAAAAAGCUAAAUUUACUUUCUUCUCAGCAGCUCAUGGAACCUUUUCAAAAUAGACCAUAUUCUGUGUCACAAUGUAAAUCUUAACAAAUACCAAACAGAUGAUAUACCCCCAUGCAGCCUAUUGGAUCAUAAUGGAAUGAAACUAGGAAUAAAUAGCAGGAAAAAUAUAGAAACCACAGAAAAACAAAGAUCUAACAAUACUGUUUUAAAAGAUGAAUGGGUCGCAGAAGAAAGGAGAAAAUCAACAAACUUUUAGAAACAAAGGAGAACAUAGAUACAACAUAUCAAACUCUCUGGGACAGUAUAAAGUCAGUUAUAAGAGGAAAGUUUAUAGCAAUGAGUGUCCAUAUUAAAAAUAAUGAUCCCAAAUAAGUUACCUAGGGCUUCACCUCAAGGACUUAGAAGAAGAAGAAAAGCCAAAUGCCCUACACAGUAGAUGAUAGGAAAUAAUUAUGAUCAGAGCUGAAAUUAAUGAAAUUGAGAUAAAAAUAAUAUAAAUGAUCAAGGAAUAUAAAGGAUCCUAUAAAAAAGGACCAACGGUUCUUUGAGAAGAUACAAAUAAACAAAAUUAAAGAUGAAAAAGAUAUAUCACAAACAUUUUUGAAAUCCAGAGGCUCAUCAGAAACUAUUUUGAGAAUUUGUACUCCAUAAACUGUAAAAUCUAGAAGAAAUUGACAAUUUUUUAGACACAUGUUACUUGCCCAGAUUGAACCAGGAAGAUAAAGAAGACCUAAACAGAUCAAUAUCAAGCAAUGAAAAUGAAACAGCAAUUAAAACUCUUCCAAUAAAGAAAAACCCCAGGCCAGAUGGAGUCUCAAUUGAGUUCUAUCAGAACUUUAUAGAAGAACAAACAUCGGUCUUUCUCAAAUUAUUCCAUGAAAUUGAAAAGGAGGGAUCGCCCCCAAAUACAUUCUGUGAAAUCAUCAAAACCAGACAAAGACACAUCAAAGGGAAAAAAAAAAAACUACAGCCCAAUUUCCCUUAUGAACAUAACUAUAAAGAUACUUAAUCAAAUAUUAGCAAAUUGAUCCAAAAGCAUAUCAAAAAGAUAGUAUACCAUGAUUAAGUAUGUUUCAUCCCAGAGAUGCAAGUGUGGUUCAACAUAUGCAAAUCAAUAAAUGUCAUUCACAGUAUAAAUAGAAUUAAGAACAAUAAUCAUCCUAUUAUCUCAAUAGAUACUGAAAAGAUCUUUGAUAAAAUUUAGUACCCAUUUAUGUUAAAAUGUUAGAAUGUCUAGCAUAGAAGGAGCUUACCUCAACAUAAAGGCUAUAUAUGAUAAACCUAAAGCCAGGAUCAUACUGAAGGCAUUCUAAAAUUAAGAACAGCACAACUGUGUCCAUUAUCACCAGUCCUAUCCAAAAUAACCCUUGAAAUGCUAUCCAGAGUUAUUGGUCAAGAGAAGGAAAUUAAAAGGAUACAAAUAGGAAAAGAAAUGAAAUUAUCUCUGUUUGCUGGUGACAUAAUCCCAUAACUAGAAGACCCAAAAAACUCCACCAGAAGAUCUCUAGGGCUGAUAAAUGAAUUCAGAAAAUUAGCAGGAUGCAAGAUCAAUAUUCACAAAUAAGUAGAUUUCCUAUACUCUAAUAGUGAUCUGCUGAGAAAGAAAUCAGGAAAACUCUCCCAUUCAUGAUAAACUAAAAAACAAACAAACAAAUAAAUAAAAUGCAUGGGAAUUAAUCUAACCAAGGAGGUGAAAGACCUCUACAAUGAAAAAUAUAGAACACUGAAGAAAGAAAUUGAAGACCUCAGAAGACAGAAAGAUGUCCAAUCUUCUGGGAUAAGCAGAGUUGACAUUGUCAAACUGGCCAUAUUACCAAAAACAAUAUACAGUUUCAAUGCAAAGCCCAUCAAAAUACUGAGGACAUUCUUCACAGAACUGGGAAAAAAACAGUACUAAAAUUCAUUUAGAAGAAUAAAGACUCAGAAUUGUUAAUGCAAUUGUUAUGGUUUAGAUGUGAAGUGUCCCCCAAAAGUUCAUGUGUGAGACAGCUCAAGGUUUAGAGCCUUAACACAAUCUGUGAAUUAAACCCCUGAUGGGAUUAACUGAGUGGUGACUGUAGGCAGGUAGAGUGUGAAUGACGGAAGUGGGUUAUUCAGGUGUGCCUUUCAGUUUAUUUUAUUAAUGGAAAGGACAGUCCUUUCUGUCUCCUCUGAGGGUGCCAUAUUCCAACUGCUUUCAUCCACCACAUCUUGCAACCAUGGUGUUCUGCCUCUCCUUUAGCCCAGAGCAAUGAAGUUGGUAAUCUCUGAACUGACACCUCUGAAACUGUGACACCCCAAAUAAACAUUUACUCCUCUAAAAUUGUUCUUGUUGGGAAUUUUGGUCAAAGUGUAAAAAAAAAAGUUGACUAGAACAAAAAUCUUGAGCAAGAGGAGUGGUACUGGAAGCAUCACAGUAUUUGAUCUCAAAUUAUACUUCAGAGUUAUAGUAACAAAAACAGCAUGACAUUAACAUAAGAAUCAGAUAUGAAGACUAGUGGAAUAGAAUAAAAGACACAGAGACAAAUCCACAUAGAUACAGUAAUUUGAUACUUGACUAAAGUGCCAAAAAUAUACAGUAAAUUAAUUUUCAAUAGCCUUUUAAAUGAAUGGUGGUGAAAAAAUGGAUAUCCAUAUGUGGAUGAAUGAAACUAGAUCCCUAUCUCUUACCCUGCACAAAAGUCAAUGUGGAUCAAAGACUUAAGACUUAGACAAGAUUUUUGAAAUUGCUAGAAGAAACUAUAGGAUCAACACUCCAACAUAUUGGCACAGGUAGAGACUUCCUUAACAAGACUUGAAAACUCAAGAAAUAAUUCAAAGAAUCAAUAAGCAGAAUGGCAUCAAACUGAAAAGCUUCAAAUGUCAGAGAGAACCUACACAAUGUGAGAAAAUCUUUGAUAGCUACUUCUCUGACAUGGGAUUAAUAUUCGUAAUACAUGAAAAGCUCAAAAAGCUUAACAUCAAAAUAACAACAAUAAUAAAUAAAUAAAUAAAUACAAAAACAAAAACAAAAAACAAAAGCAGAUAGCCCAAUCAACAAAUGGCAAAAGAACUAAACAAACUAAACAGAAAUUUUUCAAGAACACAAAUAGCCAACAAAUAUAUGAAAAAAAAGUUCAAAGUUUCUAGCAAUUAGAGAAAUGCAAAUUAAAAUUACUAUAAGACUUCAUCUUAGUCCAGUAAGAAUGGAAGAAUAUGGUAAAAAGUAUUGGCAAAGAUUUGGAGAAAAAGAUACACUUAUAUAUUGUUGGUGGGACUGCAAAUUAGUACAACCACUCUAGAAAGCUAUAUGAAGAUUCCUCAAAAACCUAGGAAUGGAACCACUGUGUGACCCAACUAUCCCACUCCUUGCUAUUUAUUCAGAAGAACUAAAAUUAACAUACUAUAGUGAUAUAGCCACAUCAAUAUUUAUAUCUAUGGAACCACACAUAGAUGUAAUCCAUGCACAUUGAUGUAUAGAUUAAAAAAAUGUGGUAUAUGUGCACAAUGGAGCUUUACUGAGCCAUAAAGAAGAAUGAAAUUAUGGUAUUUUCUGGUAAAUAGGUAGAACUGGAGAACAUAGGCUAAGUGAAAUAAGCCGGACUCAGGAAAUCAAGGGUCACAUGUUUUAUCUCAUAUGCAGAAGGUAGAGCAAAGUAAGGGAAAAAAGGCCAGGUAGUUCAGCUAUCAUAAAGACAGAAGACCAGUGGGUUAAAGGAAAUGGAGAGAAAGGGGAGGAAAUACAGAAUGAUUUUGACAGAAGUACUCUGUGUGUGUAUAAAUACACCACAGUGAAUUCCACCUUUAUUUAAAUCAAUAAAGUACCAAUUAAAAAUAAAUAUGAUUGGAAAGUUGACUAGUAGAUUAGAGGAAGAAUAAUAAGUGAAGUGCAGAGGGGACGGAAAAGGGGGACACUGAGAACUGAAAUGGAGUAAAUUAAAUUCUAUGCAUGUGUGAUUAUGUCAAGAUGAAUUCAACAAUUUUAUAUAACUAUCAUUCACUAAUAAAAACAAAAUAGAAAAAGAGGGAUGGUUAUAAGUCAGUAAUAUACUGCUUAAGUCAGAAAUUGGUAAAAGAGACAAAGAAGGGUAUUAUAUAUCAAUGAAACUGUUAAUUCAUCAAAAGAUAUAAAAAUGAUAAGCCUAGGCUGAUGAAACAACAGAGCCUUAAUGUUACAUUUGAAGCAAACAUUGACACAUUGAAAGGAGAAAUAGUUCUAAAAUAAUAGUUGAAAAUUUAUUCCACCUUUAAUAAUGCAUAAAACAUCUAGAGAAAGGUAUGAUAAGGAAAUAAAAGGAAAUAAGGACUCAAAGAACACUAUAAAACAUCUAGACCAAAUAUGUCUAUAGAAAAUUCUACCUAACAUCAGAACACAUAUUCCUCCAGAGUGCACAUAAUGUUCUUUAAGAUAGACCACUUAUUAAGUCACAAAGCAUAUCUUAUUAAAUUUAAAGUGAUAAAAAUUAUACAAAGCAUCUUCUCAAAUGAGUAAAGCUAGAAAUUAAUGAACAGAAAAAGGGGAUAUGGAAUUCACAAAUGUAUGGGAAUUAAAUGACACACCCUUAAAUAAGCAAUGAGUCAAAGAAGAAAUCCAUGAUAGAAAUUAGAGUGUGUUCAGAGAUUAAUGAAAACAAACAAGAUACCGGAACAUAUGGGAGGCAGGUUAAGCAAUGAUUGGUAGGAAACUUGUAUUUUGAGUAAAUUUAAAAAAUAAUAAGAUUAGAAGCCAACUUUAUUCCAUAAGGAAUUAGAAAAAAAUAAUAACUAAACCAGAAUUUAACCGAAGGAUAAAGAAAUAGUAUAAUGGAGAUAUGAAAACAUUAGAGAAAAAUCAAUGAAAUCAAAAUUGACUCUGAAAUAAUAUCAACAAAUUUGACUAAGAAAAAUAAAUACCAGAAGACAUGCAAGUAUCUAAAUCAGAAAUGAAUUAUAUAAUUAAUGACCUUAUGGAUAUUAAAAGUAUUUUAUGAGAAUGAAAUAAGAGAAUGAAAAAAGCAAUUGCAUAGAUAAAGUAAAUAAAAUGCACAAAUUCCUAGAAACACACAAGUAAUCAAGUCUUACUGAAAAGACAAUAAGAAAUCUGAGUAGAACUAUCACAAGUAACUCAAUUUGUAACAUCACAGUCAAAGAAAAGUAUAGAUCAAUAUCCUUUAUGAAUGAAUUUGCAAAAAUCAACAAAGUAUUAGUAAGCCAACUCCAACAGCACAUUAAAAGAAUUAUAUAGUAUGACCAUAUGGGAUUUUCCCCAGGAAUUCAAAGGGUGAUUUGAAGUAAGAAAACAAUGUAAUAAAACACAUGAAUAAAAGGAAAGAACCUGCAUGCAGUGGUGCACACUUAUAAUCCUAAUGGCUUGGGAGGCUGAGGCAGGAGGAUUUAAAGUUCAAAGCCAGCUUCAGCAAUUCAGCAAGGCAACUUAGUGAAGGCCUGUCUCAAAAUAAGAAAUAAAAGAUCUGGGAAUGUGGCGCAGUGGGUAUGUGUGAAUACAAUUUACCUCUUUUCUAAUUUGGGUUUAUGUGCAUUGAAAGACUUAAUAUUAUUAAGAAGGCAAUACUACCCAAAGUGUUCUAUAAAUUUAAUGCAGUCUCCAUCAAAAUUCUAUCAUAUUAUUUUUUGCAGAAUUGAGAAAUAUCAAUCUUCAAAUUCAUAUGGAAUUGGGAGAUUUCCUGAAUAUUCAAACCAAAAUAAAAAUAUAAAAGUGGAAGCCCUCACAUUUUCUGGUUUCAAUGCUUAUCACUGGGCUAUGGUUCUAAUUACAGACAUAUGGACAGAUGUAAUUUAAUUAAGAAUCCAGAAAUAAACCCAUAUAUCUCUACCCAAUGGAUUUUUGACAAGGGUGUCAAUUAUUAAUUCAACUCUCAAUGGAUUAAUCCACUGAUGAGUUUAGAGCCCUCCUGAUCCAGUCAAUUCUUCAGUAAAAAUAUUCCUUUCAACUACUGAUUCUGACGCAAGGAAUAAAGACAGUGAUUACCUCACAUUAUACAAAAAUUUCCUCCAAAUGGGUUAGUGACCUAUCUAUAAGGGCCAAAAGUAUAAAACCCUUAAAUGAAAACAUGAGGGUAAAUUGUCAUGAUGUUGAAUUUGGCAAUUGAUUCUUUUUAAUAAGACACAAAAGUAUAAAAGAAAAAUUAAACAAAUCCGAUGACAUAAAAAUUUUAAACUUUUCCCCAUCAAAUAACAUUAUCAAGAAAAUAAAAAGGAAUAUAUACAAUGGGGAAAAUAUUUGUAAACUCUAUAUCUUAUAAAGAUUUAUUAUUCAGGAUACAUAAAGAAAUAUUAUAACUCAAUGCAAAAUGACACACAACUCAAAUUAAAAAUGGGCAAGUGAUUUGAAUAGUCUUCUCUGGAGAAGAUACAGAAAUGGCCAAUGUGCUUACAGUGUUGAACACAUGAUAAGAUGGUCAACAGCCUUAGUCAUCAAGGAAAUGCAAACCCAAACCAUGAUAAGAUACUACUUCACAUCGUCUAGUAUGGCUAUCAAAAAAGAAACAGGAAAAUAACUAAUAAUAAAAAUGUGAAGAAUUUUGAAUUCUUGUACAUUGCUGAUUGGAAUAUAAAAUAGUACAGCCACUAUGGAAAACAGUUUGUGAUACCUCAGAAAGGUAAACAUAUGAUCCAGCAAACUCACUUCUGGUUACAUUUCCCAAAGAAUUGAAAAUAGGUACUCAAAUAAAUAUUUGGUCAUGAAUAUUCAUGGUAUCACUGUUUGCAAUAGCUAAAAAGUGCACACAACCCUAAUGUCAUUCAGUGAAUGAAUAGACAAAUAUGGUAUAAGACAUAGAAUAGAAAGUUACACAGCUUAGAACAGAAUGAAGUAUUGAUGCAGACUUCAAAGUAGAUACACAUUGAAAACUAACCCAUAGUGCUAUGUGAAAAAAGAACAAAAAAUUUCACAUAUUAUGUGGCACUACUUAUUUUUAAAUAAAUAGCAUAAAUAAACAUGUGAAAUUAUAAAGUAGAUUUUUAUUUGCAAGAGGCUAGGACAAAGGGGAGAUGAAGGAAUGAUCACUUAAUGACUAUGGGGUUCUCUUUAGGGGUAAUGAAAAUGUCUUAGAACUAUAUAGAACUAGGUGGUUGUUAUGCAACACUGUGAAUGUAUUAAAUGUACUGAAUUACACACUUUCUUUGUUUCCUUGGUAAUGAGAUGUAACUACUUAAUAUAAACUUAAUAUCUUUUUUUUUUUUUCAUUCUGGGAAUCAAUCCCAGGGCUUUGAGCAUGUUAGGUGAGUGCUCUACUACUGAGUUCCAUCCAUAGCCCUUACAUUAUACACUUUAAAAUGAAUUAUUUAAAAACUGAUGAAUGAUUUUGUAACUGAGACAAAAAUGCCUGAUAAAUAUCUCAAAGGGGGAAAGAUUUAUUUUGGUGCAUGGUUUUGUAAGUUUCAGUUUAUGGUUGACUUACUCCAUUGCUUUGGGCUUGAGGGAAGGCAAGACAUCAUGGCAGAAUGGCAUGGCAAAGGAAAGCUGUUCAGGUCAUGUCAGCAGGGAACAGAAUGCAAGAAAGAGGGUGAGUGAAGGUGAGAGGGAAGAAAGGGUUGGGGACAAGAAAUACCUUUCUAGGACAUGUCCCCAGUGAUGCACUUCUUCCAACCAUAUCUCACCACCUACAGUUUCCACAGUAUUCCACUGAUUCAGCUAUCAAUGGAUUAAGCCAUGAUGAGUUUAAUUAGUGCCCUACCUCUGAACAUUGUUGCAUUGGGGGUCAAACUUUCAACACAAAAGACUUUAGGGAAUAUUUUAGACCCAACCCUAACUAUAACAUGAUCAACUACCUACUAUUGCAAAAAAAAAAAAAAAUUCUUUAGAAUACAAGAAGAACAGAAGUACACAAGAUCUUAAUGUCUGAGGCAAAGCACAGGGAAGGAACAAACUAUAGAAGAACUCACUUCUAGGGUUGAGACCCAGAUCUUGUUGGAGAGGGUAUGGCAGUGGCCCAUAGGAUCGUGGAGACAUUUUCUAUAGUACUACACUGGAGUUCGCUGAUGAUCUUCUACAAAGGUGAUGCAUUGGGAAGCUUCCCACCAGGAUUGUGUGCUAGGAAGCUGCCUUCUGAGAGAAGCUGCCCAUGAAGAAGUCUGUUGGCAGCUGCACACAGCAGGAGUUUACCAAAAGAAGACAAGAAGAUGGGUAUUUCUUUCUUUUCGGUCAUCCAAGAACUCUGCAUUACAAACUUAGCAUCAUGCCAGCUGGCAAAGAAAUAUUUACAAGGCCUGCCUCCAUUAUUGCAUAGCAGGAAGUAAAAGAAGAUUUUAAGCUGAAAGACAAUAAAUUGAUAAUUGGCACAAAAUUAUUCUCAUAAAGUGAUUUGAGAUAAAAUAGGUUACAUAAAAGUUUCUAACUGUGAUAAUAGCCUCCAAUAUUUAUUAAUGUGAUUACUUGGUUGUCAUCUUGGUUUGUGAUAUUACCUCCAAUUACUUGGGGGUUUAGAAAGAUAUAUUCCUUAGAAAGAAAAACGUUAGUUAAUUUUUAAAUUGGCAUAUUAAACUAUAAUGUUCAAUUGAAGGUAUUAGACUGAAAUAUAAUAAGUAAUUUAAUAAUAUUAUUAAUAAGACAUGCUUAUUGAUAAUGAAGGGCAUAAUCUGCCAUUUGGACUCUCAGGUGCUAAUCUGUGUUUUCAAGAAGAGCUUAUAAAAAGUUCCUAUACAAAUAGUAAGAGAAUAACUAGAUGUACUGAAAAGUAAACUAAAAUAAACAUUUCUAAAUUUUUAAAAAUAAAGCAGCCAGAUUCUGAUUGAGUCAAAUAAUCAUAACAUUAGCUAUUAUAACAAAUAAUAAAUGACACAAUUAUAGCAUCACUAUUAUAAAAGGAUUACCUUUUCUAGCAUUUUCUUAGAGCAAGGUAUAAUGUUUUAGGAAUACAUUAUUAUAAUAGAGCAUUGUGUAAAGGUUAUUAUUUUGUGGGAUAAAAAUUCCUGUCUCAACUUUGACAUUUGUUUUUGAAAAAUGGGCUUAACUUCAACAUUUAUAUAGCAGCAGGAGACCAUUAUCUUGUGACAACACUUCAUUGCAUUGACAUUAUCUGUUAAUUAUCUUUGCCACCAUUAAUUUUGAGCCUGGUAUGCUAUAUACGUUGGCUCUUACCAGUUGUGUGACUGCUCUUUCUUCCUUCACUGAUAAGAUCUGGAAAAGAUACAAACUUUAAUUAAAAAUGAAACCCAGGUAAAGGUUACACUUUCACAAAGAUUUCUGGAGAUACUUAUGAUCAGAUGGAGUAAUUCAAAAUAACCAUCAGGUAUUCAGAAUUGCCUCUGCUUUACAUUGUUUGUGUGUUGCAUGCUACAGUUCCUCUCUCCUCAAUAUAUUUAUCCUUUUCAAAUGACCUGUGACUGAACUCCAUAUAGUUCUUACCUAAACAUCUUCCACUUCAUGAGUAACCUCUGCAGGCAUUUAAUAAGCAAGUAUUCUGUAGAAAUAUAUUUGAGGAGUAAACAGGAGACCACAUCAAAAAUAGAGAAAAAGUGGGUAAGAGAGAUCUUUUCCCUGAUAAAGGAAGAGAUGCAUCUUUUCCAAACUGUCUAAAUAAAACAUACAUCAAUUUUAGAAUUAUCAUCUUGCUUCUGGCAGUCUCUGAUUUAACUUUGUCUUCUUGUCUUCACACAGAGAUUUUAUAAAGCCCCUCAACCUACUAGUUCAGACCCUUUGUUCCUUAGGAUAUACUAUCUCCUUUUUCCUGUUACUUUUUCCCUGCCAAUUACAGUUCAAAAAAUGUUAGGGAAAAAAAAACUGCAUCUCUGCUUAACAUAUACAGACUUUUAUUUGUUAUUAUCCCCUAAACAACACAGUAUAACAGCUACUUAUAUAUCAUUUACAUUAUAUUAAAUAUUAAAUUUAAUCUAGAGGUGAAUUAAUAUAUUAGGAUGAUAUGCACAGAUUUAUACAAUAAUGUAUGCCAUUUUAUAAUUUUACAUAAAGGGAUUGGGCUUGUGCAGAUUUUGGUAUGGUGGAGGGCAUAGUCCAUUCUCCACAGAUACUGAGGGAUGAAUGAAUGCUGAACUGUUCUGCUAUGUUUUUCCCUUCUUAACUGUGCCUUUUCCACUCCUCCCUGCCACAGAUUAUCAUUGUUGAUACUCCAGAUCUCAACUACUGGGCAAGGAACAUGGUUUUGAGCCCAUUCUUACCUUGCUAGUGUCUCACUGGCACUGAAUCCUGUCCUUAUUUUCAUGGGACUGUCUUUCUCACAGUUCUGUCUCAUCUUAGUUCAGAUGUCUUUUCUGAAAUUUGCAUUAUAUAAGGACCCUAUCUUAUUCAGCUUUCUUCCCCAUUCCCCAAUAAAUUACCUUUAAUCUGCAAUUUCUGAUUUAUAUUCUUUAUAACAUUUAAGACUCUCUGAAGUAAUAACAUUAUUAAAAAUAUUUGCUGAUUGAUUUCCAUGUCCCUCUGUUACAAUAUCAGUACCACAAAGGUGAUAAAGUUUUUCACUUGACUGCUCUAUUUCCACCACAGAGAAUUGUGCCUGCAUAUAAAAAUUCAAAAUAAUAUUUACCAAAUAUAUGAAUGAAUAAGCAUAACCUCUCCCAGUCCCGCUGAGGGCAAUGCUUCAGAUUUGGAGAUUUAUAUCUCUAGUGCAUGAUUUUAUUCCUUAAUAGUUAGUCCUUCCCAUUGGCUGAAGAUUCCCAGAGUUGGAUUUUUUCUAAUCAGCACUGACUAUGGUAAAUAUCGCUAGUAGACACAAUCCCAUCAGAGCCACAUGUGCAUAGUUUAUGUGUCUGUAAACACUUCUCAUCUUAACUGUGUUGGGACUUUUGCCUACUAGUAUACUACUACUACUAUUUGCUGAAAAAAGGCUUUUAUUAUCCAGUUCUGCUUUGGAAAAAUUCAGGAUGAAAGGCACUUGUAAUUGUUAUAAAAGACCUAGGAAACUAGACAUGUGUGUACUUGCAGAGUACUUGGAGAAAAAGCUGUAUGGUGGAAUGGAUCAAUUUAUUUCAUUUAUUGAUAUAGCACUUCAUGCACUAAGAUUUCCUUUUAUAAUCUUUCCUGUCCUAAAUUAGUACUCUUUGUCUUAUUCUAUUGUUAAACAUAUAUAAGCAAUGUAGAGUUAUAGAACAUUCAAUAUUUUAAGCUCAAUUCCUUUUCCACUAAGUAAUACCUGUUAGCAGUCCUAAAAACAAUAUUCUGAUUUUAUUUCCUAUUUUCUUUGUUUUUGAGCUGAAAGCUAGUUUGUUAAUAUCUCUAAGUAACUGUGGCCCUUGAAAGUUGUCUUUUAUAAGCCUUUACUGAGCAACUACCCACAGGUCUGAAGCAUCUCAGUCUGCUUAUUUACAAAGUCAAAUGUCCUGUACUGUAUAUGUUGUAGGAAAGUAAAUGUUGAAUGUGGUGUUGUAAGGUCAGUGUAAGAUUAUGGGAAGAAAUGAGAACAAGAUCUGGGGAUUUGCAUUUCUCUAAUUGCUGGUGAUGAUGAACAUGUUUUCAUGUAUUUGUUGAGUGAUUGUACAUCAUUUUCUGAGAAAUGUCUCUUCAGGUCCUUGGCCCAUUUAUUGAUUGGGUUAUUUGUUUUCUUUUGGUGUUUAGCUUUUUGAGUUCUUUAUAUACCCUAGAGAUUAGUCAUCUGAUGUGUGAGGGGUAAAGAUUUGCUCCCAAAAUGUAGGCUUCCUAUUCAUCUUACAGAUUGUUUCUUUUGCUAAGAAGAAACCACUCUAAGAUUUCAUCUCACUCCUGUCAGAAUGGCAGCUAUUAUGCAUACAGACAAUAAUAAGUGUUGGCGAGGAUGUGGGGGAAAAGGUACACUCAUACAUUGCUGGUGGGACUGCAAAUUUGUUCAGCCAAUAUAGAAAACAGUAUGGAGAUUUCUUGGAAAAUUGGAAAUGGAACCACCAUUUGACCCAGCUUUCCCUCUCCUUUGUCUAUACCCAAAAUACUUAAAAAACAGCAUACUACAGGGACAUAGCCACAUCAGUCUUUAUAGCAGCACAAUUCACAAUAGCUAAACUGUGGAACCAAAAGAUGAAUGGAUUAAAAAAUGUGGCAUAUAUACACCAUGUAAUAUUACUCAGCAAUAAAAGAAAAUAAAAUCAUGGCAUUUGCAGGUAAAUGGAUGGAGUUAGAGAAGAUAAUGCUAAGUGAAGUUAGCCAAUCCCAAAAAACCAAAUGCCAGAUGUUUUCUUUUAAAAUAAGGAGGCUGAUUCAUUGUGGGAUAGAGAGCAGGAGCAUGGGAGGAAUAGACAAACUCUAGAUUAGGGCAGAGGGCUUGGAGGGGAAGGGAGGGGGCAUGGGGUUAUUAAUGAUGGUGGAAUGUGGUGAUUAUUAUUAUCCAAAGUACAAGUAUGAAGACAAUAAUUGGUGUUAAUAUACUUUGUAUACAACCAGAGAUAUGAAAAAUUGUGCUCUCUAUACAUAAUAAGAAUUGUAAUGCCUUCCACUAUCAUAAAUAAAUAAUAAAAGAUCUGGGGAAAAAGUCUGUAAUACUUAAAGGUCCCAGGAAGAGGGCUAGUGUGUGUCAGUAGGGCCACCAGGGAUGCACCAGGUUUUGGUCAUGAGGCAGAAGACAAGAGUAGAGCAAUAGUCUAGGCCAUAGCCUUUUGGGAUUCCUAUGAGAAAGGCAAGGCAAGUCAGAACAAAGAAUUUGACAGUUUCCUGGCCUGAUCCUGAACUGACUAUGGGCAAGAGAAAUAAUGGUUUGGUGUGUGAUAGCUCAGGGGGCGAUUCAGGCUAUCAACUUGAACUUGGUUGACUUAUUUAAGAUGGGCUAUUUCCUGUCUAAAGAUUGACUAUCCCCAGCAGGGGCAAUCUCUUUGGGGACAGCAAACUUUUUAAAAUUACAAAGCAUCUUAAGAUAUACAGAAGAAUUUUUUUUAAAACUUAAUAAAUAUAGUAUAGUUCCGUAAUUAAUCUAUUCAAUAAAAUAAGUUCUGUUAUGAACUUCAUGAACAAAUCCAAAAAUGAAAGUAGAAAAAAAAACAUUUAAUUACUGGUAAACAGAGAAUUUAGCAAAGGAGAAAAAUUUUGCAAAUAUAGCAAAGCACAAAUAGAUGAGUAGUGCAAAAGGAGAUUAUUUUUGUAGACAAGUAGAUCAAUAAAAUCCUAGCAAUGAACCCAUCAGUUACUGAAGUUAUUAAAUUGCCCUUUUAUCAGUGUUCUCAUUACUUGGAAACAUUUUUUAAAUGAUAAUGUAUGUUGUGUCUCUGUGUGUGUACACAUAAUUCUUUUUUUUUUGAGUUAUUAUUGAAACUUUACUUUCUCCUCCUUAUUGAUAUGCAUACUUUAGAACAAUAGCAUAAUCUAUGAUUGCUUUUUUAUUUUUAAAUGUAGGGUGUUUUUUUUUUUUAAUCCCCAAGGAACAUGCAUAAAAGAGUGUUUCUCUCAUAAACUUAUAACACUAAAAAGCAUUUCAGAAGACCAGCUGACAUUACUGUCUUCUUUUAAAACAUAAGGAAUUUGGAGCAAAGGAAAAAUGAAGCAAGUUGCCUAUUAUGGUCUGAAUGUGAGGUAUCUCCCAAAAGUUCACAUGUGAGACAAUGCAAGAAAGUUCAGAGGAGAAAUGAUUAGUCCAUUAGAAAUGAUUUGGUUGUGAGAGUCUUAACGCAAUCAGUGAAUUAACCCUGGUUAGGGAUUAACUGAGUGGUAACUGAAGUGGUAGAGUGUGGCUGGGGGGAUCUGGUAAUUCGGGGCGUGGUUUUGGGGUAUAUAUUUGUAUCUGGCAAAUGAAGUCCUCUCUCUCUCUCUGCCUUUUGAUCAUCAUGUGAGCUGCUUUCUUCUGCCACACUCUUCUGCCAUGAUGUUCUGCCUCACCUCAAGCCUGGAGGAAUGGAGCUGGCCUUCUAUGGACUAAGUCCUUGAAAACUGUAGCAGUUGAGAUGUGGUACACAUAGAGUGACAUCUCUGGCUCUGAGAGGAAGAUAAAUUGGAGGAGAUCAUUCUCAUGUUUAACAGCUACUUGGGAAGCCAAGGCAAGAGGAUUGCUUGAGCCCCGGAGUUCCAGGUCAGGCUGGAUCAAAGCAGAUGGCAGGGUAAACUCUGUAAUGAUGAUUAACAAGAACUCUGUGACACUUACAUGGACCUGGCAAAGAGCAGAACAGAACACACCUCUUUUCUCCAAGCACAAUAAUCUGAACAGAUGAAAGUUCAAAGAUUCAAAAUUUUGUAACCAAGUGGACCUAUUCCUCUGGAUUUAUUGAAAAGGGCAGGAAAUACACCUAGAUGCCAUAGGAGACUGUGUAUGCUCUUUAAACAGGCAGCUGUCAGCCAAGGAAACUGAAAAAUGGAGACCAGGAUCGUAGGAAGAAACACACACACAGUGACUAGUGUGGGAAGAAAGCAAGAGAAGAGAGUUCAAGAAAGGAGAGCACCAAAUGAAAGGUCCCUGAAAAAGAAACUUAAUCUCCAUCAGUUCAGGACUUUCUUGCCCAAACCAGGACUAUGGCUGUGUUUGAAUAGUACCAAGCCACUGAGUGCUGUCGGCGUUACAACCAUUCCUCCUGGCUGGUAUCACUCCACAAAGGCCCCAGUGAUGGUUCUUCUCCCCUCUGGCCCUGAUUAUUCAGACCAGAAAGUUGCUUGUCCUGAAUUCUACUUACGAUGGAGCAAGAGGGAUCCGAUUUACUUUCCCAUCAAAACAACUAAAAAACAAGAAAAGAAACAAACAGUGGUUUUUAUGAUGUUGGAUGUCAGAAAAUGAUAGAAAAUGAUCCCUAAGAUUCAAGAAUAAAUGACAUGAACCUUGCAACUGUUCCACGUUAUAGCCUUGAGAGAGUUUUUAUGACACAGACCAGAAGAGGAAACCUAGACAAACUGCAUUGUCUUCCUGAGUUAAGGAAGUAGAGCUGAGGCUCAGGAAAGCCAAAAGGUCUGGAGUGAUGGAGUGAAGAAAGCUGCACAGAGAGAGAUCUCCAGAGAGCAACAGAAGGCCCCUUGAUACUUAGCAGAGUGCUAGGCAGAGGUUAUAGUUGAGGAAACUACCUGAUGCUAUCAAAAGAACCACUCAAAGGGAUAUUUCAUAGGGCUAGGAGUGGUUUCUAUUCCCAUCAGCCAGAUGUAUCCUUGAUGCAGUUUUUCCAUCUUUUGGUUUUGAUAAAAAUCUAGUCUAUAUUUUAUGAAAAUCUGAAUAUGCUUUUAUCUUAUUAACAUGGUGAAGGAGAUGAUUAUAGCACUUUAAGAAAAUAAAUAUAUAUUGUUCUUUAUAAUUCUUCUUUAUCUUCAUCCAUCUGUUUCACCUCUUAAAUUUUUUUUCUCUUUUAACUACUUAUUUUCCUUUACUUCCUCCUUUAUAAGGAUCCUUAAUAUCUCUUAUUUGCUAUGGUUUAUGUCUUGGCCAUUGAUUUAAACUGAAAUGUAAGAUAUUCCCAACCUAUAUUCUCCACACUUAACAAGUUCUUUGUGUCCAAGUGACAAAAAUAUGAAAUAGUGAUUCCAUUUUACUUACAAUCUUUAUCCUGUCUUGCAGAAGAAAGCCACAACAAUGCUUCAGUAGCAUAAUAGGAAUGGCUCUUGAAAAACUAAAGCCAGUGAAAUGUGUUUAAUCAGAUAGUAGGUAGGAUAUCUCAUGCCUGUUCUCAUUCAAAGAAAUAGUAAUUACUAAAGCCUAUGGAAGAAACAAAAUAAGGUGGUUUCUAUUAUUACAGACAGAAAAAAAUAUUGUAAACAUCCUUUCUGGAAUUUAUUUUCACAAAAAUCUUCAUAAUAUAUACUCAACGAAUCUCCCAAUCUUUUCCCCCAUUAUUCUCUUUCAGCUGGACACAGUGGUGGCACACCUAUAAUCCCAGUGAUUUGGGAGGCUGAAGGCAGGAGGAUCACAAAUUCAAAGCCAGCUUCAGCAACUUAGUGAGGCCCUUAGCAACCUAAUGAGACCCUGCCUGAAAAUCAAAGAUAAAAAGGACUCAGUGUUUAAGCUUCCCUGGGAUCAAUCCCAGUACAAUCAAUCAAUCGAUAUUUACAAAGGCCUAAUUCUCCUUCACUGUGCUUAAUACCCAUUGAUUAGUUGAAUAACCAAGUUCAAUUUUUACCUUUCUUGCAAGAUUUUUACCUUCCAGAUGAUUCAAUAAGAGCACAGGUCCUAUACCUGCCAGAGCAACAAAGGACACAUCCUUCUUACCAUACUUUAACCAAUUUGUCUCUAUUUCUAUCUUACUGUCUCAAAUGGUGCUCUAUAUUUCAUCUCUGGUUCAUUUCUGCCAAUCCUAGCUUUCUUUCCCAGAGACACCUUCAACUGUAUCAGACUCAUUCAUAUUUACAAUGCAGUAAUCCACAUGUUUAUGCAUUAUACUUCACAAAGUUGAUCUCAAGACCAGGACAACAAAUAGUGGAGAUAAAGAAGUCAUUGAUGAUUGGCAACAGGGAGACUAAGAAGGCAUGUGCUUGUGGUAGCCAUCAUGUCAUGUGAUCCUAGAGAAAAAGUUCGAACUAUUUGUAGUACCUUGUUUUGGGAGAACUUAUCCAUCUAGUGAAUAAAUCAAUCCCUUCAAAUCUUUAGUAAAAACAUGCUCACCAUGUGGACAUGAAAAGUGAAAAAGGUAUACCUCGAGCAAUUGCAUUUUUGUGCAAUUAAAAUUGAAAAUAAAAAUUUGAUCUUUUAAAAUAACAAAUUCAAGCAAGAACAAAGUUCAUUAGAGAUGGUUUUGAAAUUAACAUUAAGAAAUUUCAGUUGCUUUUAAACUUCUAAUGAUGAUUUUCACAGCAAUUUGGCUUAAAAAAUAUAACCAUUUGUUUUGACUCAUUUCCUCUGACUUAUAUUUUAUUUGGAGAUUUGUAAACUCUAAACAUUGUUCUGAAUUGUACUAUAAGAUGUAUAAUUGAUGAUGAC
Marmota monax (woodchuck) is the source of this 20265-nucleotide long non-coding RNA. RefSeq lists it as uncharacterized. NCBI's taxonomy places the organism in Eukaryota, Metazoa, Chordata, Mammalia, Rodentia, Sciuridae. The transcript has 7 exons. The record is from RefSeq and is a predicted model, not a curated record.